Molecule: ribosomal RNA, 419 nt
Filed under: bacterium
Lineage: Bacteria
Description: partial 16S ribosomal RNA
Rfam family: Bacterial small subunit ribosomal RNA
Source: RNAcentral
UGGGGGAUAUUGCACAAUGGGCGAAAGCCUGAUGCAGCGACGCCGCGUGGGGGAUGAAGGCUUUCGGGUUGUAAACCUCUUUCGCUAUCGAACAAGGCCCGCUUAGGGUGGGUUGAGGGUAGGUGGAGAAGAAGCGCCGGCUAACUACGUGUCAGCAGCCGCGGUAAUACGUAGGGCGCGAGCGUUGUCCGGAAUUAUUGGGCGUAAAGGGCUUGUAGGCGGCUUGUUGCGCCUGCGGUGAAAACGCGGGGCUUAACUUCGCGCGUGCAGUGGGUACGGGCAGGCUUGAGUGUGUAGGGGUGACUGGAAUUCCAGGUGUAGCGGUGGAAUGCGCAGAUAUCUGGAGGAACACCGAUGGCGAAGGCAGGUCACUGGGCCAUUACUGACGCUGAGGAGCGAAAGCAUGGGUAGCGAACAGG